This 67-nucleotide transfer RNA is filed under the name Elasmosoma sp. QL-2014. Its description in RNAcentral is "tRNA-Ala". The record is from RNAcentral. Lineage: Eukaryota; Metazoa; Arthropoda; Insecta; Hymenoptera; Braconidae.
AGAGUAAUAAUUUAAUAAAAAUAUUUAAUUUGCAUUUAAAAAUUAUGUAGUUGAUACAUUUAUUUUA